GACAGAGGGUGCAAACGUUGCUCGGAAUUACUGGGCGUAAAGCGCGUGUAGGCGGGUUGGUAAGCCAGAUGUGAAAUCCCUAUGCUCAACGUAGGAACUGCAUUUGGAACUGCCAGUCUUGAGUAGUGGAGAGGAAAGCGGAAUUCCUGGUGUAGAGGUGAAAUUCGUAGAUAUCAGGAGGAACAUCGGUGGCGAAGGCGGCUUUCUGGACACUAACUGACGCUGAGACGCGAAAGCGUGGGGAGCAAACAGG
Molecule: ribosomal RNA, 253 nt
Filed under: uncultured bacterium
Lineage: Bacteria
Description: partial 16S ribosomal RNA
Rfam family: Bacterial small subunit ribosomal RNA
Source: RNAcentral